AUCCAACUGAAAAGUCCCAAAUAGGACCAAACCUGCGUCUUGUAU
RNAcentral lists this non-coding RNA (45 nucleotides) under Schistosoma mansoni. The record is from RNAcentral. Lineage: Eukaryota; Metazoa; Platyhelminthes; Trematoda; Strigeidida; Schistosomatidae.